GGCUGCCAAAAGCCAUUCUUCUAAACAAUCUGAUCUCUGCAGACUGCUCAGCUGAGUCGAUGACCUCGCUUUGGCCUAGUCUCAUCCCGUUGGUCAAGUCUUCCUCAGCUAGACUGUCGAAAGCUCUCACAAUCUGACUCAUCCGAGGUCUCUUUGCAGCUGAGUGGCGAAUACAAGCUGCAGCUGCUUCGAUCAUUCUAAACAUUUCAGCGCCAACGUAGUUUCUUCCCAGCUUGGGGUCUACUAAAGCUUCAAACUCCUCGGUUUCUACGGCAUGACUAAGCAAAGGACGAGCCUGAAAACAUUCAACACAAAAACACAUUGGACUAAAAGAAAAGAGUUCCAUUCUCAAAAAUGUUUAUUUUAUGCCAUACCCAUUCAACAAGGCUCUCAUCUCCCAAGGGUUGUGAUGUAUCAACAGGCUUACGUCCAGUGACUAACUCAAGUAGAACAACACCAAAGGAGAAGACAUCUGAUUUUUCAGUUAAUUUGCCACUUGAUGCAUAUUCAGGAGCCAUGUAGCUGGAAAUAAUUAACCACUACUUGUAUUAGAUGCAGAGAUUGCAACAUUACAUACAGAGAACUAUUAUGAGAACUUAACCAACACCUACCCGAACGUUCCCAUAACACGAGUUGUGAUAUGCGUGUUACAAUCUAGAGCUAGCUUUGCAAGACCAAAGUCAGAAACCUAAAGAAUCAAGAGAUCAAAUGUUACUAAAACUCAUGAUCAUAAACAUCAGCAGCCUUACAAAUUCAGAAGAGAAGAUGAAUAUGAAUAUGUAUUAUACCAGAGGGUGAAAGUUAUUAUCUAAAAGAAUGUUGGAUGACUUGAUGUCCCUGUGUAUGAUACGAGGAUGACCUGCCAUUCACAUAAUUAGUUUAGCCGCCAAGAACCAUAAGAAGAUAGUACCAUCAGAUAAACACAGAAACCUACAAUCUUCAUGGAGAUAAGCUAGUCCACGAGCCGCACCAGCAGCGAUUUUAACACGCGUUGCCCAGUCCAGACCCGGUGUUCCUGCAGCUAAAAGACCAGAAGAAACAUAGUUUUUAAGUAACAGUAGUUUUGUCUUCUAUGAAUCUGUGAGUCUUAAAUUCUAGCUUACCAUGAAGGUGGAAGUAAAGGUUGUUGUUAGGAACAUAAUCAUAGAUAAGCAACCUCCUGUUCUCGGAGAUACAGUAUCCAACCAAAGAAAGCAAAUGCCGGUGAUGAACUCUGCUUAUGGUCUCAACCUCAGCUUUGAACUCUCGAUCGCCUUGUCCUCCACCUAUUUUUAACUGUUUAACAGCCACCACUCUUCCAUCUGGUAAAGCCCCUUUAUAUACACAACCAAACCCGCCUUCACCCAGUAGAUUUUCAUCUGAGAAUUCAUUUGUUGCUUUGACGAGUUCUUCGUAUGAGAACAGUUCCUUUGAGUGACCAAAGCCACCAGGUUCUGGUUGUGAAAAGAAUGUCCGGUUGCUAGAACGGUUUCCCACUAGCGGGGCAGACGAGUUUGUCUUGGAAGGCGUUGAAUCUGAACAACAGAGACUACUGAUAAACAAGUGCGCAUAGAAAUGUCCAUAAACAUAAACUUCAAGUUGAGAUAAGAACCAUCAAUACAUUACUAAGGAGAGUUCUUUCAGCCAUGCUUGCUAAGUUAAUGUGAGAAAGAGAAUUAAGGGUUAGCUGUUAAAAUGUACCUGAUCUUGGGGAGGAAACUAUAGGAGAUGGCAUAACAUAGCCACCUCCAAUGGAAGAAGGCCUCUUUUUCUGUCUCUUCACGCACCAGACAAUGACUCCAAUAAGACCAAGGAGCACAAGGACCAAACCAAUACUCACACCCACGAGAGCUACUGUACUAAAACCUGAGUUGCUGGAAUUGUUUGUCACGGGAGGAGUAAGGUUGUUUUGUUGAGGUGGAUUGCCUGAGUCUGGUACAGAUUUUUGAGGAGGAGGAGAUGGAACUAAUGGUGGUGAGGGUGAUGAAGAAGAGUUAGAAGGUAAGGGAGCUGGACUUGGUUUGGAAGGUGGGUGGAUUUUCUCUGGUGGAGGAGGACGUUUAGAAUCUGGAGGAGGAGGUUGCUGAGGAUGUUCUGGAUCCCGUGGAGGAGGAGGAGGAGAGAGAGCAGGACGUUGUGAGCCUGGUGGGGAGGGGGGAGGACGUGGAGGAGGAAGUGAUGGGGGAGGUGGAGAUGAAUGUAACGGUGGGACUAACGGAGGUGGGUUUGUAGGUGGGUCUGAAGCAGGUGGUGGAGGAGAGCUUUUGGGUGGCGGAAAUAACGGUGGUGAAAUGGCAGGCCGAUCAGGUGAUGAUGGUGGAGGAGGAGAGCUCUCAGGUAAUGAUGGUGGUGGAGGAGAGCUCUCAGGUGAUGAUGGUGGUGGAGGAGUAGAUACUUCCGGAGGUGGAAAUGAUGGUGGUGAAACGGCAGGCUCGUGUAGUGGAGGAGGUGGAGGGGGAGAGAUCUCAGGUAGUGGCGGUGGUGGUGGGUUUAAUGGCGGGUCAGGUGAAGAGGGAGUAGGAGGAGGAGAUGUUUCCGGUGGAGGGAACGAUGGUGGUGAAAUGGGAGGCUGUGGAGGGGGAGAGGUGUCAGGUGAUGGUGGUGGUGGAGGGUCAGCAGGUAACGUGGGAGUAGGAGGAGGAGCUCCGGUAGGUGGAGGUGGCGAGGAAGAAUCUUCUGGUGGUGGAGAUGAUAAAGGAGCCGCCGGGGGAGGAGUAGACUGAGGUGGAGGGUUUGGGAUCUCCGGUGAAUUGCCAUCAAUGGGCUCUCUCGUAGGAGAAACAGCAUUACCACCGGGAGACAAAGGUGGAGACGGUGGCACCUCCGCCGUAGGAGGCUGCACCGGUGUAGCCAUCUAAAUCAAAAGACCCAAUUUUUAACAAAUUUUCACCGAAAAAUCCAGAGCUUGAGGACGACAGUAACCGUAAAGCACUAAACUUUACCAAACUCUGUUACUACUAUUACUCGAAACGAAGACAGAGGAACCGUAAAGCACCAAACUUUACCCAACACUGUUCCUAAACUACUCGAAACGAAGCAGACCCAGAUCGUGAAAUGAACUUCCGAGCAGAACCCAGAUCACUGAAUCCAAAAUCUCAGAUUACCUGACUUGGUGAUAGACUUAAUGCAAACAAAACUUCAGAUCUCUCUGUAAAAGAUUUUCCUUGCAACACCCAGAAAAAGAAAAUUAUAUGCUAGUCUUAGCUAAUGGCCAAGUAAGCAACUUGUCUCCUUCUUUUUCUCACCAGUUGAGAUUGCGUCUGCGCAGCAUACAAGAUUUGGUGGUGUGCCUGAAGCCUUCAAAUUAUCAAGGCUGUUUGUGUGGAAGAAAAGAAGUAACUAAACAAAAUUCAAAGGCAGAUGAAUGGAUGAAUCAAAACUGUAUUUGUGUGUAUCAUAAUAUCAAACAAGUCAUCAGAACGAAAAGAAAAUUCAUAUGGGAAGGAACUUAAGACAAAUUAAUUAAUAUAUUUGUAUGCAUCAUAAAGGAAAAAAAGAAUGCUUUAUUGUAACGUCUAAUCAACGGUCAACAUGAAAUCUUAGCUUUAUUUUUAUUUUAUUUCUUGCUUGUUUUUGCAAAAAGAAGAUCGCUAAUUGGCAAUUACCUACUAUAUUUUUUUGAUAAUUGGUUUGCAAACAAAUAAUUAAUUACUAUACUGAAAUCUUGUUUUAGUUAGGAAAGUCAUUACUAUAUAUGGAAAUCUAAAGUUUCUUCACUCAUUUCAUUUUUAACCAUUUUUUUUUUAUUUUUCUCGUAUUAUUAAAAAAGUAUUUACCAAAUUAAAAAUAUAUAUUUUUGUUAUGUGUUAAUAUUACAAAAUCAGUUACGAACAAACAGCCUUAUUUGAAAUUAUUUUAACGUAAGAAAAAAACUUAAACUGCAGUGAAAUGUGUGAAAUUUUACAACCAUUGCCUAAGUACUAUUGUUUCAUAAUUAAAAAUUUGACAUAAACUAUUGGAUUUAAAGUGUAAUUAUUUGUAUAUUUAGUUCAUAAUAUAUGUACGAUUGGUGCUGAAAAUUAUGUAAAAUCCUGAAAACAGUAGUUCACUCGUUGCUUGACGUUAAAUUUCAUGAAAGGGACGUUGAGAACUUUGGGACCAUUUUGUCCAUAUCAGUUACAUGCCAAUAUAAAAAAGAAAAAAAGGAAAAAAGUCACAAUGUGGAACCCAAUUGUCAAGAUCAGUUACAUGCCUUUAAUAUUAUGUUCUUUUGUUUUUUGUUAUGUUUUAUUACCACUUUUUUUUUAUAUUUUUUUUUAAUUUUAUAUUAUUGAAAGAUAUUAAAAAAUCACAUUAAAUAUAUAAUAAAAACAUUUAUAUUUUUUCUUAUAUGUUAUAUUUGAAUUUUUCAAAACGUCUAUAUAUUAUUAGAAAUUUGAAUAUUCCCACUCUGAAAAUUUUGUGAUCAAUAGAUUAUUUUUUUGUUAUAAUAAGUUACAAAUGAUCAUAAAAUAUAACGCAUAUGAAUUUUUAUUUAAUGAAUAUUCAAACUAAAUAAUAUAUAUAUAUAUAUAUAUAUAAACACUAAUGAUUUAAAGCAACAAGAUUGGCUGAUCAAUUUAGUCGUCCAGUUGAAAUCUUUCAAAAGUAUGUGAAAAACUAAAGUCAAAGUAAAUAUGGAUUUAGAAUAGUAGUUAUAUUUUACUAACCAAAUACCGAAAAAAACCGGACCGAACCGAAACCAAUCCGAUAUCCGGAUUAAUCCAAAUGAAGCCAAACUAUUGUUUCAUUUUCCAAAAUAUAAUAAAAAUAAUAACUUAAUCCCGCGCAAGGCGCGGGUCUUAUCCUAGUAGAUUAUUAUUAUUGUCACCAUAAGUGAUCUUUAUAUGCAUUUUUCAUCAAACUUCAUCGUCAUCUUAUUACUUUUUUUUGGUUUUACUAUGUUGUACUUUUUUCUAAUUCAUUUUUAUAGUUUAAUAAAAUAUAAAAUUAGUACAUAAUAAAGUGUAUGAUAUUGUCAUUAACUCGAUUGGCCUUAUUUAACUUUCACUUUUAUUUUUCUUUCUAAUUCUUACUUUGGAUCAGGUGUGGUUUAAAUUUUUUAGGUAUGAUUAUUUUCUCUAGACCUAAGUAGAAAGUUUAUAACAAUUCACCGAUGGACCAUAAUUAUAAAUACAAAUAUUAACUGAAAUUUAUGUGUGAAAACGAAUUCUUAAUUGUAAAAUAAAUCUAACACAACAAUCCUAAAACUAUAAUAAAAUGAUUUUAUUAUUUUUAUGUUUUUUUUUAUGAAAUUAAAUCAUCAAACAAAAUUCGUUGCAACACAUGGACUCAUAUCUUGUUAUCAAUAAAACACACUCUUAAUAUUAAGUCAUCAAUUUAUAUAUAUUUUAGAUAUCUUCUUAUAUACGUUAACGAUUUUCAGAUCCAUCAAUUGGUUCAUCGUACUUCAUGUUAAAUGGGUUGGUUCAUUUGUACUUCCUGCUAAAUCAUGAACCACUUUUGACACAAAGUGUUCUUCUUUAAAUCGGAAUUUCUAAAGGUCGGCGUGGAGAGGUUAUGGGGUUCGGAAUCCACUUUAUUAUACGAAAUUGGACGAAAUAAACUGCAUAAUACUCAAGGGAAAAGUAGUAGAUCAUUACAACAACUUAUAUUGGAAAGCAGUGGAAGAUUAUACCAUAAGUUAAGACAAGAUUAAACAAAGAUUUACAAUAUUACAGCCUUUGUCUUAGUCACCUAUAUCUUCAUCUGUCUUUCUGAGAAAAAGAUUUGAACCCGUAAGUUCUUUUUACGAUUCUUGAUCAAUAACACCACAUGAAUGCCAUAAGCACAGAAGAUAAGUUUUCAUUUCUGUUUCUUUCCUCCAGCUAUUUGACAUCUACAAUGUCAGAAGAUCUUCAUGGCGCCAGAAGCUUCCAAAACCGAACUCUUUGCUCAUCGACAACAUUCCCUCAGUGACUUCAAUGCAAUUAGAUCUUGAUGAGCCUUCUUCAAACACAACCCCAUUUCCAUACCAACGCUCCUCUUUGACGACAUCCUCCUCCGUUCUUGGUUGCAAGGUUCUCCCACAUCUUCUCUUCGCAAACUUCUUAAUCUUCUGGCCAAGUUUACAAGGGACCUUGAAGAAGACGAAGGUAGUGACUUGUAACACAAGGCAUUGGCAGCAGCAUGAAAGGACACCACAGUCUUCUUCCAUUACUCUUGUUACGCACAAAACUUCAAGGACUACAAAUGUAAUACAUAGACUGGUGUGUGAAUUUCACAAGACAUGUAUACCGGCAUGUUUAGGAAUCUUGGACGGCAAAAGAACUGUAGCUGUUCAAAUCCUUGUUACCAUUGAUACUAUUCCCCAACAUGAAUGUGGUUCAUAUAAGGGCAAAUAGGUCUAUUCUCAUCUUUCUAUAUUUACACACGCCAAUGAAAAGUUUGGUGAUGACAUAAAGAGAAGAGAACCUUGUUGAUUUAUUAUUAGCAGAAGAGUGGGCAUGAGUUACAUCACAGAAGAGAAGAUAGAUGCAGAGGAGGUGACUUCUCAUGUAAGAAGAUGAAACCACUCACUAUCCUGUUCUCAUCUCUUCUUCCAAAAGAUUUGGACUAGACGAACCAGAGGACUUGCAUUGAGGUUCUAAACUCAUAUUAACCUUUCCUCUCAGUGUUUAUGUGAUUCCGUGGUAAUCAAGAAAGGUUCUGCUUAGAGAUCUCAUUUCUUGGCCAAAAUCAAAAUCUCCAAUGAGUUUUGUUUCUGAUAUAUUAUUUACACGUUUUCGUCUCUGCUAUUGUAAAUAUUGUGAGUGAAAAAAUCUGUACUGUAGUUUUGGCUGCCAAAAGCCAUUCUUCUAAACAAUCUGAUCUCUGCAGACUGCUCAGCUGAGUCGAUGACCUCGCUUUGGCCUAGUCUCAUCCCGUUGGUCAAGUCUUCCUCAGCUAGACUGUCGAAAGCUCUCACAAUCUGACUCAUCCGAGGUCUCUUUGCAGCUGAGUGGCGAAUACAAGCUGCAGCUGCUUCGAUCAUUCUAAACAUUUCAGCGCCAACGUAGUUUCUUCCCAGCUUGGGGUCUACUAAAGCUUCAAACUCCUCGGUUUCUACGGCAUGACUAAGCAAAGGACGAGCCU
Molecule: long non-coding RNA, 7032 nt
Filed under: Brassica napus (rape)
Lineage: Eukaryota; Viridiplantae; Streptophyta; Magnoliopsida; Brassicales; Brassicaceae
Description: long non-coding RNA (BNAP_LNC008061)
Source: RNAcentral